GGGAAGGUGGCUCAGUGGUAGAGUGCUUGUCUUGCAUGCAUGAGGCCCUGGGUUCAAUUCCUCAGUGCCA
RNAcentral lists this transfer RNA (70 nucleotides) under Dipodomys ordii (Ord's kangaroo rat). It matches the Rfam family "tRNA". From Rfam's summary of the family: Transfer RNA (tRNA) molecules are approximately 80 nucleotides in length. Their secondary structure includes four short double-helical elements and three loops (D, anti-codon, and T loops). The record is from Rfam by way of RNAcentral. Lineage: Eukaryota; Metazoa; Chordata; Mammalia; Rodentia; Heteromyidae.